RNAcentral lists this ribosomal RNA (484 nucleotides) under uncultured bacterium. Its description in RNAcentral is "partial 16S ribosomal RNA". It matches the Rfam family "Bacterial small subunit ribosomal RNA", at positions 30 to 507 of the family's 1533-position model. The record is from RNAcentral.
AUUGAACGCUGGCGGCAUGCCUUACACAUGCAAGUCGAGCGGCAGAAGGGCGCUUGCUCUUGGAUCCAGCGGCGGACGGGUGAGUAAUGCCUAGGAACAUGCCUGGUAGCGGGGGAUAACGUCCGGAAACGGGCGCUAAUACCGCAUACGUCCUGAGGGAGAAAGCGGGGGAUCUUCGGACCUCACGCUAUCAGAUGAGCCUAGGUCGGAUUAGCUAGUUGGUGGGGUAAAGGCCUACCAAGGCGACGAUCCGUAACUGGUCUGAGAGGAUGAUCAGUCACACUGGAACUGAGACACGGUCCAGACUCCUAAGGGGGGCAGGCGUGGGGAAUAUUGGAACAUGGGCGGAAGCCUGAUCCAGCCCUGCCGGGUGUGUGGAGAAGGUCUUCGGAUUGGAAAACACUUUUAGUUGGGAGGAAGGGGAGUAGGUUUAAACCUUGCUGUUUUGACGGUACCAACAGAAUGAGCAACGGCUAACUUCGUG